AUUGAACGCUGGCGGCAGGCCUAACACAUGCACGUCGAACGAGUGGCGGACGGGUGAGUAAUGUCUGGGACACUGCCUGAUGGAGGGGGAUAACUACUGGAAACGGUAGCUAAUACCGCCUCCCAUCAGAUGUGCCACGAUGGUGUGAGCCUGUUGGUGGGGUAACGGCUCACCAAGGCGACGAUCCCUAGCUGGUCUGAGAGGGGGACCAGCUACACUGGAACGGAGACACGGUGCAGCCUCCUACGGGAGUCAGCAGUGGGGAAUAUUGGAUAAAGGGCGCAAGCGUGAUGCGGCGAUGCCGCGUGUAGUAAGAAGGCCUUGGGGUUGUAAAGUACUUACAGCGGGGAGGCGUUACCCGCAGAAGAAGCAACGGCUAACUCCGUGCCAGCAGCCGCGGUAAUUC
This 406-nucleotide ribosomal RNA is filed under the name uncultured bacterium. RNAcentral describes it as "partial 16S ribosomal RNA". It matches the Rfam family "Bacterial small subunit ribosomal RNA", at positions 29 to 526 of the family's 1533-position model. The record is from RNAcentral.